AUUGAACGCUGGCGGCAUGCUUUACACAUGCAAGUCGAACGGCAGCGCGGGCUUCGGCCUGGCGGCGAGUGGCGAACGGGUGAGUAAUACAUCGGAACGUGCCCAGUAGUGGGGGAUAGCCCGGCGAAAGCCGGAGUAAUACCGCAUACGACCUGAGGGUGAAAGCGGGGGGUCUUCGGACCUCGCGCGAUUGGAGCGGCCGUUGGCAGAUUAGCGAGUUGGUGGGGUAAAGGCCUACCAAGGCGACGAUCUGUAGCUGGUCUGAGAGGACGACCAGCCACACUGGGGCUGAGACGCGGCCCAGAGUCCUACGGGAGGCAGCAGUGGGGAAGUGUGGACACUGGGCGAAAGACUGAUCCAGGAAUGCCGGGUGUGUGAAGGAGGCCUUCGGGUUGUAAAGCACUUUUGGCGGGGACGAAAAGGACUGUGCCAAUACCACGGUUGGAUGACGGUACCCGCAGAAUAAGCACCGGCUAACUACGUG
This 484-nucleotide ribosomal RNA is filed under the name uncultured bacterium. RNAcentral's name for it is "partial 16S ribosomal RNA". It matches the Rfam family "Bacterial small subunit ribosomal RNA", at positions 28 to 507 of the family's 1533-position model. The record is from RNAcentral.